GCGUCGGCGAUGCAACGGUUUAGCCCAUGCACCCGGAAAGAGUAAGGUCUGGGUUCAAAUCCCGGCCGAUGCA
Molecule: non-coding RNA, 73 nt
Organism: Parelaphostrongylus tenuis
Lineage: Eukaryota; Metazoa; Nematoda; Chromadorea; Rhabditida; Metastrongylidae
Source: the annotation of a GenBank genome assembly